RNAcentral lists this long non-coding RNA (167 nucleotides) under Sus scrofa (pig). Its description in RNAcentral is "FAS antisense RNA 1 conserved region (ENSSSCG00070021535.1)". It matches the Rfam family "FAS antisense RNA 1 conserved region". The record is from RNAcentral. Lineage: Eukaryota; Metazoa; Chordata; Mammalia; Artiodactyla; Suidae.
CAGUGUUAGUUGUUUUGAAAAUCUCUCUUAGGUCUUGGGACAACAAUGCUGGUAAGCAUAGCAAAGGUAUCAACGCCCAGAGCUAUGCUUAACUUUUAUACUUAUAACAUCUUUACCAGAUGGGCAAGUUUAAAGCACCAAGGAGGAGUUCCCGUCGUGGCGCAGUG